Molecule: ribosomal RNA, 407 nt
Filed under: uncultured bacterium
Lineage: Bacteria
Description: partial 16S ribosomal RNA
Rfam family: Bacterial small subunit ribosomal RNA
Source: RNAcentral
AUUGAACGCUAGCGGGAUGCUUUACACAUGCAAGUCGAACGGAGUGGCGGACGGGUGAGUAAUAUAUCGGAACGUGCCCAGUAGCGGGGGAUAACUACUCGAAAGAGUGGGUAAUACCGCAUACUAUUGGCGCGGCCGAUAUCGGAUUAGCUAGUUGGUGGGGUAAAGGCUCACCAAGGCAACGAUCCGUAGCUGGUUUGAGCGGACGACCAGCCACACUGGGUCUGCGACACGGCCCUGACCCCUACGGGAGGCCGCAUUUGGGAAUUUUGGACAAUGGUGGUAACCCUGGUCCAGCCAUCCCGCGUGUAUGAUGAAGGCCUUCGGGUUGUAAAGUACUUUUGGCAGCGAAGCGGUAUCUGCAGAAUAAUCACCGGCUAACUACGUGCCAGCCGCCGCGGUAAUAC